This 494-nucleotide ribosomal RNA is filed under the name uncultured bacterium. RNAcentral's name for it is "partial 16S ribosomal RNA". It matches the Rfam family "Bacterial small subunit ribosomal RNA", at positions 28 to 507 of the family's 1533-position model. The record is from RNAcentral.
GACGAACGCUGGCGGCGCGCUUAACACAUGCAAGUCGAACGGAAAGGCCUGCUUUCCCUUGUGGAUUGCGGGUACUCGCGUGGCGAACGGGUGAGUAACACGUGAGUGAUCUGCCCCCAACUUGGGUAUAAGCCUGGGAAACUGGGUCUAAUUCCCGAUAGGACUGCAGGGUGGUGCCUGUGGUGGAAAACGAUUUUCUAGUGGUUGGGGAUGAGCUCGCGGCCUUUCAGCUUGUUGGUGGGGUAAUGGCCUACCAAGGCGGCGACGGGUAGCCGGCCUGGGAGGGCGGGCGGGCAAGGUGGAACUGAGACACGGCCCAGGAGAUAACGGGAGGACGCAGAGGGGAAGAAUGCGUGAUGAGCAGAAGCCUAAGGGAGCAACGCCGCGUGAGGGAUGCCGGCCGUGGGGUUGUAGACUCCUUUCGACCGCGCGGAAGCCACCUGGUUGGAAGGGUGGUGACGGUAGUGGUAGAAGAAGCACCGGCUAACUACGUG